CGCUUUUCUGGAUAGAGGCAAUCCCAGGCAGCCCAUCCACGCGCCCAGUUCCCAUCACUUCAUCACCCUUACAGCCUCACCCUCAUCGUUCCUCAGCAACUCCCCACAAGUUCUGAUCUAUGAUGGGAAAGGCAUGAGAUCUGAGUCAGUCUUUCAGAGCUAGGAAACAGAAGAGAGAAACUCAGUUGGAAUGUAAACCAUUGGCGCCCAAUCUUGUAUGCAACCACGGAGGAGCACGAAUGUAUUCGAUGCACAUUUAUAUAGCAACAAAUACCAAUAAAUUUCAUUUGAUGUUA
Molecule: long non-coding RNA, 296 nt
Organism: Felis catus (domestic cat)
Lineage: Eukaryota; Metazoa; Chordata; Mammalia; Carnivora; Felidae
Exons: 2
Source: RefSeq, a predicted model, not a curated record